AUUGAACGCUGGCGGCAUGCUUUACACAUGCAAGUCGAACGGUAACAGGCCGCAAGGUGCUGACGAGUGGCGAACGGGGGAGUAACGCAGCGGAACGUGCCCAGUCGGGGGGGAUAACGCAGCGAAAGCUGUGCGAAUACCGCAUACGAUCUGUGGAUGAAAGCGGGGGACCGUAAGGGCCCGCGCGAUGGGAGCGGCCGAUGUCCGAUUAGGUAGUUGGUGGGGUAAAGGCUCACCAAGCCGACGAUCUGUAGCUGGUCUGAGAGGACGACCAGCCACACUGGGACUGAGACACGGCCCAGACUCCUACGGGAGGCAGCAGUGGGGAAUUUUGGACAAUGGGCGCAAGCCUGAUCCAGCAAUGCCGCGUGCAGGAAGAAGGCCUUCGGGUUGUAAACUGCUUUUGUACGGAGCGAAAAGGCUCCCUCUAAUGCAGGGGGCUCAUGACGGUACCGUAAGAAUAAGCACCGGCUAACUACGUGCCAGCCGCCGCCGUAA
Molecule: ribosomal RNA, 498 nt
Filed under: uncultured bacterium
Lineage: Bacteria
Description: partial 16S ribosomal RNA
Rfam family: Bacterial small subunit ribosomal RNA
Source: RNAcentral